CGGUUUGGAACGAAGCCCCAGGUGUCCUUAACCUUAGCGCCUUUCGUCCUCUCGUGAACGCGCACAUUACGAAUGUGCACGUACGAGGCGGGAUCCUGUUACCAUGACAAUUACGUCAACAUUGGUGUCGCGCGCUGUCGGGUAACUAAAGGUCAAACUAAAGACAAGCGACAGAGACGGAAGGAAGGAAGCGGAAUGGCGGAGACUCGGAAUUUGUGUCAGCCAGAGCCGGAGGAAAUAAAAGAGUAAUAAAGUGUAGUGUAACCUGCUUUGAGUGCUAUCGAGUGAAGUGAAGGCGAAUGUAACGAGGUAUAUUAGAGUGAAAGGACAAGUGUGUGUGUGUGUGUGUGUGUGUGUGGAUUAGCCGUUAGCUAGCUAGGAUCUGACUGGGGCUCAUUAGCACAAUGACUUUCAGCCGUCUUUAGCAAGUGUGCUAAAACACUUUACUGUUCAACAACGACUCGCUUUUUUUCAGUUUCGUCUCUUUAAUUCUCACAAAACUAAGUUUACAGCCGUUUUGUGACGCGGUGUGUAUUCGUACAGACACCGUUAGCAUGUCAGCUUCCUCUUCGACCAACUUUGUAACUGCUACAAAAACAACUUGGCCUUUGCUUCGUGUGUGUUCAGGAGAUGUGUAUUAGUGUGUUGUGUUUUGUCUCUCUCUCUGUCUCUCUCUUCUGAGAGUGUAUGAGGUUUAAAUAUAUUUCCGGGCAGUUAAUGUAAAUAGACAGACAAACCUGAGUUUUAUUUCGGUAACGUUUGGCUUUUUUUUUACGUCUUAACAUGUGGCUUUGGUAAGAAUGUUUUGCAAGAAGGUUUUCCACAGGUAGUGAUGUAGCCAAGUGUGUGAGUGUACCCCGAAUAGUGUCAACUAAACAGAGAUUAAAGUCUAAACGCUUCAGAAUAAUAAACUCCUACAGGUUGAUCUUUUUUUUUUUUUUUAUACCAUGUAGAAGUGUGUAAAUGUUCACCAUGAUCCCGGUUUAAAUGCAGACUGGUAUCUGACUUUGUGUUGUUCCUCUUCUUUGCGCUGUAGAGGGCAGUCCACACUGCACUUUACUCCUCCAUCUAUUGCUGCUCUUUUCUUUUGUUUUCUGUGUGUGAAACAUCAGCUGUACGUAUUGAUUGUGUGUGAACUGAGCCGGUUGUUUGUGAUUGUAAACAUCCCCGACUGGAAGCUGUGUGUGAAGUGUUGAGCUUUCAGUUGGAUGUUUGCUGCCACUGACCAUCAACGUCGUCGUCAUCAUCCGUACUUGAUUGAAUACACGAAGAAGCUGUUUAAUGCGAGACAAGUGACAGUCCAGCUGCAGUCCCUGUAAACAUCCUACACUCAGCUGUAGUGUGGAUGAAACGCUGAGAGGAGGGUGUUUGCUUUGACUGGUUGGAAAACCACCGUGAUGCAGAUUGUGGAAGAAAUGGAUAGCAACGCAUAGAAUUGUAUAAAUCUCGUAAUCGGUAUGAUGAACCUUUGUAUGACUGAUAAUCUGAAUAAAAGUUUAUUUAUUACUGUG
This is a long non-coding RNA of Tachysurus fulvidraco (yellow catfish), 1511 nucleotides long. RefSeq lists it as uncharacterized. The transcript is spliced from 2 exons. The record is from RefSeq and is a predicted model, not a curated record. Lineage: Eukaryota; Metazoa; Chordata; Actinopteri; Siluriformes; Bagridae.